GAAAAGAGACAAGCGUACAUUUGACAAUAACCACUAAUAAUAAAUAAACAAGUAAUUAACAAAUCGUUUCCUUUAGUCGUGAGCUUCCUAAUAAACAUCCACCCUUCACCCUCCCACCCACCUCCCGCUCACCUGGGAGGGGGGGGCGAAGGCAUCAGCUCCCCUUGAGCUUUUGUUCUGGCCAGCAGUUAACUAAUUUCUCUAAUCUGACUGUGGGUAAUCCAUUCAUCAAAUCUCGUGGAAUACCCUUU
RNAcentral lists this long non-coding RNA (251 nucleotides) under Gallus gallus (chicken). Lineage: Eukaryota; Metazoa; Chordata; Aves; Galliformes; Phasianidae. The record is from RNAcentral.